UAGGGAAUCUUCCGCAAUGGACGCAAGUCUGACGGAGCAACGCCGCGUGAGUGAAGAAGGAUUUCGGUUCGUAAAACUCUGUUGUUAGAGAAGAACAGCGCAUAGAGUAACUGUUAUGCGUGUGACGGUAUCUAACCAGAAAGCCACGGCUAACUACGUGCCAGCAGCCGCGGUAAUACGCAGGUGGCAAGCGUUGUCCGGAUUUAUUGGGCGUAAAUCGAGCGCAGGCGGUCAAUUAAGUCUGGUGUGAAAGCCCCCGGCUCAACCGGGGAGGGUCAUUGGAAACUAGUUUGCUUGAGGGCAGAAGAGGGGAGUGGAGUUGCAUGUGUAGCGGUGAAAUGGGUAGAUAUAUGGAGGAACACAAGUGGCGAAGGCGACUAUCUGGUCUGUAACAGACGAUGAGGUGCGAAAGCGUGGGUAGCAAACAGA
RNAcentral lists this ribosomal RNA (429 nucleotides) under Bacteroidota bacterium. RNAcentral's name for it is "Bacteroidetes bacterium partial 16S ribosomal RNA". It matches the Rfam family "Bacterial small subunit ribosomal RNA", at positions 355 to 776 of the family's 1533-position model. Lineage: Bacteria; Pseudomonadati; Bacteroidota. The record is from RNAcentral.